CCCAGACUCCUACGGGAGGCAGCAGUGGGGAAUAUUGCACAAUGGGGGAAACCCUGAUGCAGCGACGCCGCGUGAGUGAAGAAGUAAUUCGUUAUGUAAAGCUCUCUCAGCAGGGAAGAAAAUGACGGUACCUGAGUAAGAAGCCCCGGCUAACUACGUGCCAGCAGCCGCGGUAAUACGUAGGGGGCAAGCGUUAUCCGGAUUUACUGGGUGUAAAGGGAGCGUAGACGGCAGUGCAAGUCUGGAGUGAAAGGCGGGGGCUCAACCCCCGGACUGCUCUUGGAACUGCGUGGCUGGAGUGCAGGAGGGGCAGGCGGAAUUCCUGGUGUAGCGGUGAAAUGCGUAGAUAUCAGGAGGAACACCGGUGGCGAAGGCGGCCUGCUGGACUGCAACUGACGUUGAGGCCCGAAAGCGUGGGGAGCAAACAGGAUUAGAUACCCGCGUA
RNAcentral lists this ribosomal RNA (445 nucleotides) under uncultured bacterium. RNAcentral's name for it is "bacterial SSU rRNA". It matches the Rfam family "Bacterial small subunit ribosomal RNA", at positions 330 to 792 of the family's 1533-position model. The record is from RNAcentral.